GGGAUCGGAAUACGAAAUAAAAUUUCUUAUAUCCGGUUGCAAAGUGAAACUGCUUCAUGCUUCAAGUUAUUGAAUUAUGUAGCAAUUGCACGUUACACAUUAGAGAACUGUUCCUUUUGAUAAAGAAAGUCACAAAAUAGAUACAAAAUGAGUGUACCUUAUUCAUUACUGUUACCGAGCUUUCGUCGGUGAAAAUCUCGAAAUGGCGUGUUUCGCUGCGCUUCGUCCACAUUUUCUAUGUGGUGACUGAAGUCUGGUCAGUCGGCAGGCAGCAGUACUCAAUUUACCGCAUUCCUACAAUCCAACUGAAAUUACGGGUAUUCAGAAUCAGCCUUUAAACAGUUGAUGAAGCCCGCCCUGGUAGAUGGAAUCUGCCGCUUGACCAGCAGCACUGUCCAGAGACAGUGGUUGAUGCUGGAUAUAUGACUUUUCCUCAGCCCAUCAUUACCUGCUGGAGUGCUGGUAGAGGCUGAACGCUUUAAUAAAUAUAACUGUGAUCUUGCUGAGAUGUAGUAAUCCAUGGGAAUUUUCCAAAGAAGAUUCAAGAGAAGUAUUCAAUUAUAUAAGUUCAGACUGUAGAGAGCAUGAAAGCAGAUAUUACAGUUAUCUCCCUUAGACUAGAUGAAUUACAAUACAGAACUUUCAAAUCAUCUAAGUUUAGAGUUAUAAUGCUAUUUGAAUUCUUUGAAUUUGGCUACGGUUACUAGUUAAAGACAUAACCACAUGUAUUGCCUCAGUUUACUUACAAUUAUAAUAUAUACCUAUAAGUAUAAAUUGUCCUUCUCUUAAUUUUGUAUACUUUGUGGAAUUUAUAAAAAUUGCAUGAUCACUGUUCGUUAUCUUCUCUUUAUAUUAGCAGUAGAUUCUCUGUACCUGACUCACCAGGAAUGCAUUCUUAGGUCACCUUAGUCACUCAGGUGAUCGUUUGCUAUUGAUCUGCCCGUUCGUUAUCGCCGUCUGUCAAUUGUAUAUCGAUUCGUUAAACACCCCUCUCAACAAAAUUUCACUCAUGGAGACAUCAUCAGUUCCGGCGAAGGGCUGCAAAAUUUAGGUCUAUGCUCGGCGCUUAUGGCCUUUGAGCAGGGAAGGAUUUUUAUUUUGCCACAAAACAUUCUUGGGAAAAGGGGAUUCAUGUUUGUUCAAAUGAAGCAGCGUGUCAACUUGAAAGGGGAAAUUAUACAGUGAAACUUCUCCAAAUCGGCCCCUCAGAAAACCACUCCUCUCUGAAUAUCGCCCAAUUCUUAAAGUCUCUGUAGGAAUCUUAACAUAUCCUUUCAAAGAAAUUCAUAUAGUCCAAAGUGUGACUUUUCGAGAUCUCCGCCAUUUUUGACAAGGGACUUCUGGGAUGAUCCUCAGUUAUAGGUUCAGAUUUAGCUCGGAUUAUUCUGUGCUCUUUAGUCAUUGGAGCUUGCAGCAUGAGCCAGAGCACUGCACUCACUAUUAAUAUGCAAGUAGCUGCAUUUAAUUUAAAUUGAAGUUGAACACAAGGACCCCAGGGGUAGCGUGGGGGCACAAUAUGAAAUCGGAGUUUUAUAUGGUAAUAUGCAGAAAAUUUAUUAAAACAAAGACUUUUCAAGAGGAGCAGAGCCACACUAAAUCAUAUCCAAAUGCAAAUGUCCCCAAGUUGUGUGAAAACAAGGUUUUUUUAUGACCCUGACUAAGGAUGGGGUGGAAUUGUUUUUGUCCUGUCUGUCUGAAAUUUUAACCUUCCUCAUAACUUUUGAAUAAUGAGCAGUGGGGCUCUCAUAUUUGCAUUCUUUUUUGUGGCCAUAAAGUUUUUCACCUUGUGACCUUGACAUUAGAGUUGGAUCUACUGACCGGUUUAGGUAGAACUUUCAUAUUUUGUAUACAUACAUGUAUAAUGACCUGAAUGUUUUACAGAAUAGUCAUAUGGUAGUGAGGCAUUCCUGUGUUGUGUGAAUUUAAGUUUGCUUUAUGUCGUGAACUUCGGGGCUAGGUGGGGCAACAAAAUAGAGUCAACAUAUUUCAUAGGAAUAAUGAUUUAAAAUACAAAAAAAUUUGAAAAUCAAAACAGCUGACCAAGAGCAAGGUAACUCGGGUGAGUGAUGUGGCCUAAGGGCCUCUUUGGGAUUAAACUCUAAGGUUAUAAAGUAUGUUUUUAACAAUUUAUCUGAAAUUAUUUGUAUGCGUUGAUUUUGGGGUCCUGAAGGUCAAGGUCACUACUGGACUUCAUAGAAAAGGUAGUAUAAAUUCAUUAAGGAAGCAUAUGCCCUGCGUUGCAGAGUUCUUAGGCCACUGAUAAAAUGUGUUGUGUUUCCGCUAACCCGACUGACCCUAAAUUAUAGCCCCGACCCUAGAUUUUGUUUUUGAUAUUUAAAACAAAAAUCGUCAUUUUCCCGGAAAAAAUGUAUUCCCGGUUCUUGGUUUUCGGUUUAGUUAGACAUUGAGAUGAAGUCAUUCAAACGCUUUAAUGAUAUACAAAAUUGCAUGGUUUUGUGUCAAGCGUUUAAACAACAUUGAUAAUGUUUCUAACUAACAGCAUGGAUGAUGGUUGACCCAGUGGCUGGUACCUCCAUGCGUGCUCACGCAACGAUGAUUUAACAAUUGAAGUUAACAGACGGUCGAGAGACUCUGCCAAGUGUCAUGUUUUCAUAGAAGACUUUCUUUUGUUAAAAUUGCCAACUCCUAUGUUGUUUUUAGACGGUGGCUAUUUAUAGCCAUGCACUGUCUUAUGCUAUCAUUUCAAUGGGCAUUAGACGGGGACCCUAGUUUUAUAUGGAGGUCAUGAUGCAGAGUGACAGACAUGAAUGUCCAGUCUGUCAAAUUUGUAUGCACAUCCUUGGUUUCUGCUGCAGUUCUAACUGAAAACACUAUGAAAACGGUCGCAAAUAACGCAGUGAGCGCAUCCGAGUUGUUGAUGGCUGGUGAGAGCCGAGAGGAAAAAAAGAUGUGCAGAUUGUUUUUAAAAUAAAAAUUUAUGUCCGGUAAAAAGUUUUAGCUGGAAGAGAGUUGGAUCCCAUUAGGAUAAGUGGGAUCUGCCCAGACUGUCUUCCUACCCUUGUUCCAUUUAGAUUGUGAAAAUACAUUCAGAAAUGUAUUAAUAAACUUAAAAUAUGUUAAUGAUGUUGAUAUUUUGGUGAAGAUUUAAUAUAUUUUUUCAAAACCAUCACAUUAUUUUCCUGUCAAACAUAUCCAAUAGAAGUAUUCCUAUGACAACCAAUCUAAAUGUAGAAACAAUAUAUCUGGUACUUGUAGAGCAUAGUGGCAUAGAGGAGUUAACUUUUGUUGUUUUAUGCUAGAUAUGUUUCAUUGAAAAAUAUAGUUUCUUAUAAAACAUCUGGAAAUAAUCCUCAGCCAAUAACAGGUGAAAUGUUAUGAUUGAAAGGAUAUGGGGCUCACAGCGGGUGUGACCGGUCAACAGGGGAUGCUUACUCCUCCUAGGCACCUGAUCCCACCUCUGGUGUGUCCAGGGGUCCGUGUUUGCCCAACUAUCUAUUUUGUAUUGCUUAUAGGAGUUAUGAGAUUGAUCACUGUUCGUUAUCUUCACCUUGCAAUGCAAUUUAAGCAAAAUUUUAUUUUGAAAGUAUAAAAUUCAAUAGAACAUUUAACUUGUGCAGUAAUUAGGGCUAUACGGACCGUGGAUAUCGGCCUGGAUAGCUCAGUGGUUAGAGCACCUGACUAGAAAUGCAGGGGUCCAGCCAAAGAUUUUCUCCUUCCCAUACUACAUUUGGUACCGUUGACCACCCCUAAUGGUGCAGGUUGGCCUGUCAGGGGCAAAAAGAACCUGGGUUGAUAUUGAAAGACAAUUAUAAAAUUAUAAUUGAUCUUAAGGAGGGAGGAAUGUAGUAAUUAGGGCUCUACGGACUGGAUAUUGGCCUGGAUAGCACAAUGGUUAGAGCACCUGCCUAGUAACGCAGGGGUCCCAGGUUCGAUUCCCGGUCCAGCCAAAGAUUUUCUCCUCCUUCCUAUACUACACUUGUUAGAGUUUACAAUGUUUUUGCAUACUUUGAAAAAAUAAAAUUUAAAAAAAAAAUAAAAAUUUAUUUCCUACCUUCUUACCCUAUUUUUUUCUGGAACAUUAGCGGAAACUCAACAAUUUUUAUCGUUGGCCUUAUUCAUAUUCUAUCAUGAAACGGAGAACAAAGUCGCUUGACAAAAUUCUCUUCAAAAAAUUUACUGAGCAUUUUCAACCUGCAGACAAUUUUACUUGCCUGUCUGAUUUCUGGUGAUUCCAGCACUCAAUGCUACUUUGGUUUUUCAGCUUUCUGGACCUUAAGAUGUUGACACCCUGCUGAUGGAGCAGAAGCAGAAAGCAGUUCUCUUACCAUCAGAUCUGAUCCAUUUUUGGAGAUAGCCUUUUGUAUGGAGCUGGAUAGCGGUUACUGGAGACGUGCUGUUGAUUGAUGAGGAUAAUUUUCCCGAGACUCUGACAUAUAUUGCAGGACCUGGAUAGCUCUACUGGUGUUCAAAAUGCCAGGACUGUGGAGUGUUGUGAUGUUAUUGAUGGUCAACAGAAGACUGUGACCUUGAAUCUGAAGAUCUGUGAUGAAGACUGGACGUUUGGAGUCACUCUCUGUUACAGUACUACAAAUCUAACAGUGAAACACUCAGCCACAAAGAGGUUGUCUCUGAUGUCCACACAUAAACCCCAUGGAGACUCUAAAUGACAGUGAAUGUAACGGAGGAACUGUCCGUCCUGAUCUAGGAUGUGGAUACGGUCAUUGUUAUAGUCUGCUGUCAGGAUGUGACUCUGGCUGUCUGUAGUGAUGCCGACUGGAUCAAAUGAUUGCUGGGUAUUAGAGGGAUGACCAGUGUAUCUAAAUCGGAGUUUUCCUGACUGAUUGACCACCACUACUGCUCUAGCUGUAUAGUCAGCCACACAGAUAUCCAGGUUCUUGUUCUCACUGAGGUAUUUAAUGUCACCAGAUGAAUAGAGAGGACGACCCUGAUCAUCAAACUGAAUGCUUUGUUGUUUCUCUGUGGAGCCGGAGUAACGCACGACUUUGGAUUGUUUGACAUCAUCACUGUCCAUGGUAACCAGGAGAUUGUUACCCGCGGUACAGCAGACAGAGCGAGGACUCCACCCCUGUAGUGUGAUCACGAUUGAGUUGAGUGGAACAAUGAACCUCCGGAUAUCUAUGUACAUUUACACGUGUAGGAUUAAACUUCUGUUGUACUCGCGCAUGCGAGCUUAUCCUA
Molecule: long non-coding RNA, 5160 nt
Organism: Ostrea edulis (European flat oyster)
Lineage: Eukaryota; Metazoa; Mollusca; Bivalvia; Ostreida; Ostreidae
Exons: 8
Source: RefSeq, a predicted model, not a curated record